RNA transcript from Oncorhynchus mykiss (rainbow trout), 2820 nucleotides. It is a transcript of the gene named ETS transcription factor ELK4, with no coding region annotated. The record is from RefSeq and is a predicted model, not a curated record. Lineage: Eukaryota; Metazoa; Chordata; Actinopteri; Salmoniformes; Salmonidae.
GAAGCUGUUGCCGCAAUAUUUCUCACCAUGCCUCCCACGCGCGAAUGCUUCUCGCGACGAGCAUAGCAGAGGCAUGACAACAACAGUCAAGUCUUUGCAAACUUGCCUGUUACAAUGUAACUUGUGAUAUUAGAUUAUAAUGUAACAUGUAACGUGUUUUUCGAUCAACAGCAAAAGUGAAGCAUCGUUGUAAACAUUUGUGUUGAGACAAAUGUAGCUGAAAGUAAAAGUGGUUGGCGCGACGACACUUCAAAACCACAGCGGGGACAGAAAACAACCCGCAUAUGGAACGCAAACAAGGGGAAGUGAUCUCAGCAUGCGUUUAAUUUCCUGUUCUUAAAGAUUAGCACACAUUUUUCCCUUCCAAAAAUGUAUAUGGCAAUUUUAUAGUUUUCACGUACUCGAUAGCCAUUUGCUACUCAGCUAGCAAGCUCAUUUUCUGUCAUGUUUUGGGAGUUGUAUCGACACUUCUGGGUGGCUCAAAUUUUCAACGAGCUCGACUAGUAAGUAGCGGGGAGCAUGGACAGCUCUGUGACCCUGUGGCAGUUCUUGCUCCAGCUCCUAUUGGACCCCACCAAUGAUCAGCUGAUCUGCUGGACCAAUGAGGAGGGCGAGUUCAAGCUGCUGCAGGCGGAGGAGGUGGCCAAGCUGUGGGGCGCCAGGAAGAACAAACCCAACAUGAACUACGACAAGCUUAGCAGAGCCCUGAGAUACUACUAUGACAAGAACAUCAUUAAGAAGGUGAACGGGCAGAAGUUUGUGUACCGCUUUGUCUCAUACCCAGACAUUCUGAAAGGGGAUGCCUCUGUUCGGCCCGAUGGGGAGGGGGGUGCAGGGGGUGGCCUGCCCCUCUCAGAGAGGGGGGUCAACACAUCCAGAGAUGAUGAGGGUGGGGACAGGAGUGAAGGUGUGACAGCAACACGGGGGUCCAGUACUAAGCCGUCCAACCGUAAUGACUACAUCCACUCUGGUCUGUACACCUCGUUCACCCUCACCUCGCUGCAAAAUGGACGGCAGCUGUUCAAGUCCAUCAAGAUGGAGAACCCCGGAGAGAAGAUGGCCGACAGGAAGUCCAAUACCCGGGCCCAAGACCCACCCUCUCAGCCAAUGCCAUCGCCGUCAGUCAUCAAGUUUGGGACCACCCCUCCCAAGAGAAGCCCUCCACCACCUCAGGUUACUAUAGAAACAUCCAGUCCGCCAUUGUACCCUCUCCAAGUCCCACCUCCCAUAGAUGAUGUAGUGAGGACACAUUCCACCCUCCUGCCUCAGGCUGUGUAUGCGUUUGAGCAAACCAAGACCUUGGAAUCCUCGAAUCUUCGAAUCCUGCAUAGUUUCAGCUUAUCAGAGGUGCCCUCUCGGAGUCCCUCCCCCAGCAUGGUGCCGGACUCCACCCAGGAGCUGGUGAUUGACAGUGACAUCGAGUCCAUCUCCUCACAACCGACAGAGAUUCAGAUACAGGCGGUGCAGAGUUCUGGCCAUGUGUCAAGUGGUGAGGUAUGUGGAGGAAACGGGGACAAGGGAGGGAAUAGGGAGAUGAGUUUGUCUCCGGUGUGUGCGAGUGGCCAUAUCACAGGGGGCAAGGCCCGCAAGCCUCCUAAAGUCCUGGAGCUUUCCACUCCUACACUGGUGGUCACUGCCUCUGACCUUUCACCUAUGAACCUCUACAGCCCCUCACUACCCACCGCCUCUCUCACGCCAGCACUGCUACAGAUUUUCCCUCUGUGGGUUAACAUCUAUGCUACUGCGGUCAUGAGAUGGCUCCGUUGGAGCCAGCCCCUGGCCAGCUUCUCAUCUGGGUUGGCUUUGCCUUGGGCUGCUGACGCCCACUCUGUUGCUGACCCCCAGUCCCCUGCUGUCUAACAUCCACUUCUGGAGCACGCUCAGUCCGGUGGCUCCCCUCAGCCCUGCCACCCGCCGCCAGCAGGGAGCACACACCCUGUUCCAGUUCCCCUCAGUGCUCACCCCUCAUUUCCAUAUCCCCACACACAGUCUGGAUGGGACCAACACCCCCGGACCCCUCACUCCAGACUCCCAUAAGACAUAAGGGACCUUACCCUUGGAACCUGUGGAGCCCCCAGACGCAGAGGCCCUACUUCUGCUCUACCCGCACACUCCCAAACAGACACAGGAGACAUGGGGGUUGAUGAUUUGGAUAAAUGAGGACCAUCCACUGCCAGGAGGGACUGAGACGGUUAGAGGUUUCCAACACGCACACAUCUUGAUUCCUUGAACACUUCCUGUUCUUUUAACUUGCCAUCUUCAGGUCUCCAUUGACACCUCUCCUAAAGAAGUAUUUUUAGGAAUUGCCAUGGUAACCAGUGCUGCAAAGACUAGUGAUUUGAUGCUGACCAGUCAGAAAUGUGCAUCACUUUACCUGAACAGCCAAUUGUGUCUCCGCUCUGAGACCAAAGGGAUUACAGACCUUUUUCUUUCUAUUUCAACCUAAAUAGUUUCCUUCUAUUCUUUUUGUGGAACUUCACACUUUCACAACAAACUGUUUGAUGGUGUGUUGUCAAUUCCCAACUCAGUUUUUAGAUGCUUUUUAAUGGAUCAUUUCCCAGUUAUUAGUUAUGUUUUUAACGUGUUUUAACCAGCUAACCUUAAUGUUUCUCCUCACCGGCUCUCUUAGAUGGAAAAUGCUUGCCAACACCAACUCUACUCUUCCCUUAACUGUCAAUCCCCUCAUCUACAUGCCAGUAUAUACAGUUUAAGUCAGAAGUUUACAUACCUUAGCCAAAUACAUUUGAACUAAGUUUCACAAUUCCUGGCAUUUAAUCCUAGCAAAAAUUCUCUGUCUUAGGUCAGUUAGGAUCACCACUU